This is a long non-coding RNA of Gigantopelta aegis, 263 nucleotides long. RefSeq lists it as uncharacterized. The transcript is spliced from 3 exons. Lineage: Eukaryota; Metazoa; Mollusca; Gastropoda; Neomphalida; Peltospiridae. The record is from RefSeq and is a predicted model, not a curated record.
GCAUGAGCAGAUACCUUUCAUUAUCCUGCUUGUUGUGUGUGUGGUUUUGUUAGAAACCAGCACAUAUGUAGAAGCUCAUCGAGGAGGUUUCUUGAUGGGUGGCAGAAGGCGGAACCCGUGCUGGCGUAUGCGCUGUCCACGUAGAAUGCGCUGUAUCCGCAGAGGAAGGCGUGGUGUCUGUGUGCCGUGGAGAAGACGUCCAUUCUGGCGAUGGAGAGAGUUGUUCGAUUCUGAUUAAUAAUCAAACUCUUGAUGAAUUCCUG